GACUUGGCCCUCUAUGGAGGAGGCAUGCUCAAAUGGAACUCGGUGCUCGGAACUUGGAGUCUGGAGAAGAGGCUCCUUGGAGCUGGGAUACGGACCCUGCAGGAGGCAGUGCCAGGGGCUGGGGCUGGAUUUCACAGAGGGCUCAAUGUGCUUGGUUCUGGGUGUGGGACAACCACAAACUAGAGCCACCUGCACUGCUGAAACCAGUUGCCGCUGCAGGGGCAUGAAGAAAUGUUGCUGGGCCAACACUGAUAGGCACGGGAAGCAAACAAAGGAGAAAGUCUCCAUCUUCCUCCAACCCUCACACUCCCUGUGGCAUCCCUGACAGGCAGAGCCUAACCAGAAGCCAGCUGGAAAAGGAGAACAUUGUGUGCAGAGGCUCAGCCCCAGUAUCAGAAGUAGACUGUGGAGGAGGGGAGAAAUGGGGCCGAGAGCAGUGGCUCAGUCACCAGCGAGCCACCAGGUACCAGGCUCUGACAAAUAAAAAGAAUUUCAUCAUCUUUACUAUAUCCAUCAAAAACAUCCUCAAGAAUAAAUAGGAAACAAAGACAUUUUCAGAUGAAUCUAAAUGGAGAUAAUUCAUAACCAGUAGACUGAACUACAGGGAGUCCUCAAGGGCAGAAGGAAAUGAUACCAGUUGGUCAUGUAGGAAGGAAUAAAGAGUAAUAAAAAUAAUGGUCUGGAACCCAACCUGAAAUAUCUCUAAGGACACAGCUAAGCUCAAGUCAUACAUUUCAACAAAACUUAACAGUUUGAUGGAAACAACUUCAACAUACAGAAAAAAAUCUCAGUCCCUAAGCCACCAAAAGACACGGCUCCCAAACGGAGGUCAGCCCUCUCCUUGGCUUCCUGCUGCCACCUGUUGCAGGCCUCAGUGGUGAUCACCCCAUGCAAAGAGACAUGCUCAUGGUCAUGCCCUGUGUCCAGAUUCAGGCCUCCAACAUCCUUUGGGUCCCGCCAGGAAGGACGGGGUAGUGGAGUCAGCAUGUCAACUGGAGAGCAGGAAUGGAGCACAGCUUCGUAGUAGAAGAGACAGAAAAUUGAGAUCCUCCAAGGGAAACUGAAGAUGAAAGGGCUACAGGAAUCGCGUACUGGUGGAAAAGGGAGAGAGCAGGAAAGAAAACAAGCAAACAAACUAAACCAAAGAAACAAAAGACCAAACUGUGGCCAGAAUGGACAAUGGACCUGUGGGAUGUAGAAGGAGAUGGAGUGAAGAUAUAUUUCAAUUUGCUUGGAAUGAAAGCAGGGUACAGAAGACACAAAAAGAGUGACUGGUGCCAUUCUGGAUAUGGAGACUCGAUAAGCCAGAGUCCUUGAGUGAGGACAACAUAUGGCAGAGCCCCCUUCCCUCCUAACCAAUGUGGGAUGGACGCAUGUGGCACAGGUGAGUUAGAAGCCGGAUUGUUUUAAGCCGCUAAGGUUUUAGGGUUGUUUGUCGCUACAGCAUAACUUAGCCUAUCCUGACUGAUACCUAGAAAAAAAAGGUUCAUUUGAGAAAUACUGAAGUCUGACCUCAAGGGGAUAAAGAGUAAUCAAAUUGUAGCUCAGGGGGGCUAGAGAGUGGGUGUGUAGUAAGGAAGUGUAAGUAGCAAGUGUUAAAUUCCUCUCAAGGUUGCUUAGGGGCUAGCAGAAUGCAGUUCGGCCAGUUAGUUAAAUAACUGCUCUUUGGGGAAAUCUAGGAAUAAUUCUAGAACACUUUUAAAAUAAACCUAGAAACAUUAAUUGCAUAAAUAAUGACAAAACCCAAGACACACACUGUAGAAUUCUUUAUAUAUAUACGUUAAGAUAACAGCAGCUUUUAUGCAUCUCAAAGCUUAAUGAAGAUCUAAGAAUAUCACCCAAUAAAUUCCUCUGUUUAUUUCUAGGAAAAAAAAUUUGUUUUUCUGGAUGAAAUACAUUUCCUUUUAUUAGUUAAUGAGAAUAAUGUCAACAUCCCUACAAAACCCUUGUUCCUGCUCUCUUCUUAUCUUUACUUCCAGGGGUUUGAAAGAUUAUCCUUUACCUUGAUGGUUUGGCACCGUCUCUGCUCUCAGGGACUAGCUCGUGGAACAGAGGAGCUUUAGGCCUGGGGCUGUGUUGGAAGAUCUGGAGGACCUAGACAACUCAGGGGGGUGAAUGCAGUAAAGGAUCUUAUUGAUUAUGGCCAAGACAACCUGGUACAGUCCAUAAUUGGAAAAGACCCAUCAGAAAUUCUACAGGAGCAACAGAAUAGAGGAAGGGAGUGUGUGUGUGCAUAUGUGAGUGCAUGUGUAACUAUUUUACUGAUGGUUCUUUUACGACUAGUAAAAUCCAGCACUAUCAUGAGAAUCAUUCAGCUGUUAAAUAGUCCAAAAGUAGAAAACAAUGUUGGUAAGACCCUGGUUCCCAGCAGAUAAGACCAGAACUGUCUACUACACAGGAUGAGAGUUUUUGAAACCGCAAGUCACAUACCUUUAGGGGAUUGUGAAAUUGAUUUAGAGCAUCUUGAUCAAGUUUUUUAAAAAUAAGAUAAAAUGGAAUAGGAAAAUCAACAUGCAU
Molecule: non-coding RNA, 2517 nt
Organism: Callorhinus ursinus (northern fur seal)
Lineage: Eukaryota; Metazoa; Chordata; Mammalia; Carnivora; Otariidae
Source: RefSeq, a predicted model, not a curated record